Non-coding RNA from Caranx melampygus (bluefin trevally), 73 nucleotides. Lineage: Eukaryota; Metazoa; Chordata; Actinopteri; Carangiformes; Carangidae. The record is from the annotation of a GenBank genome assembly.
GGUCCUGUGGCUCAGUCUGUUAGGGCCUGGUUUGUGGAGACCAAGGUCGUGAGUUCAAGUCUUAUGAGAAUCU